AUGCCCGCCGAUGCCAAGCCCCGCGCCCUCCUCCCCGUCCGCCCGCUCCUCCUCCUCUCGAUCCCCUUCCUCUCCCUCCUCCUCCUCUACGGCUACUCCUCCUCGGCCCCUCCCCUCCCCAACGCCCGCGCCUCCCCGCCCAACCCGCACAUCCGCAUGCGCCGCGGCGCCGCCUUCCGCUCCUACGACGACUACCUCCGCCACCAGCUCAACAAGACCCUCGACCCGCGCCUCCGCCGCGUCUGGGCCACCCGCGACUGGCGCCGCAAGGUCGACGCCUUCGCGCGCGCCUUCCGGGCCCUCCAGGCCGAGGGCCUCCUCUCCAACGCCUCCCGCGCGCUCUGCGUCGGCGCGCGCCUCGGCCAGGAGGUCGCCGCGCUCCGCCUCGUCGGCGUGCCCGACGCCGUCGGCAUCGACCUCGCACCGGCGCCGCCGCUCGUCGUCAGGGGCGACUUCCACGCGCAGCCCUUCGGCGACGGCGCCUUCGACUUCGAGUUCUCCAACGUGUUCGACCACGCGCUCUACCCGGACCGCUUCGUCGCCGAGAUCGAGCGCACGCUGCGCCCGGGCGGCGUCGCCGUGCUGCACGUCGCGGUGCACCGCCGCGGGGACAAGUACUCGGCCAACGACCUGCUCGACGUCGACGGCCUGCUCGCGCUCUUCCGGCGGUCGGAGGUGGUCAGGGUCUCCAAGGUCGACGCCUUCGGCCUGGACACCGAGGUCGUCCUCCGCAAGAAGAGGUCACCCUAG
Molecule: ribosomal RNA, 750 nt
Filed under: Triticum aestivum (bread wheat)
Lineage: Eukaryota; Viridiplantae; Streptophyta; Magnoliopsida; Poales; Poaceae
Description: partial small subunit ribosomal RNA
Source: RNAcentral